AGAGUUUGAUUAUGGCUCAGGAUGAACGCUAGCGACAGGCUUAACACAUGCAAGUCGAGGGGCAGCACGUCAAGGUGGCGACCGGCGCACGGGUGAGUAACACGUAUGCAACCUACCCAUAGCAGUGGGAUAGCCCUAAGAAAUUGGGAUUAAUACCGCAUAAAACAGGGGUGCCGCAUGGCACUAUUUGUUAAAUGAGAAUCUUUGGUUAUGGAUGGGCAUGCGCAGGAUUAGGUAGUUGGUGAGGGUAACGGCCCACCAAGCCAUCGAUCCUUAGGGGAACUGAGAGGUUGGUCCCCCACACUGGUACUGAGACAGGGACCAGACUCCUACGGGAGGCAGCAGUGAGGAAUAUUGGUCAAUGGUCGGAAGACUGAACCAGCCAAAUCGCGUGAAGGACGACGGUACUAAGUAUUGUAAACUUCUUUUGCGGGGGAAUAAAAGGCAUCACGUGUGGUGUUUUGCAUGUACUCCGCGAAUAAGCAUCGGCUAACUCCGUGCCAGCAGCCGCGGUAAUACGGAGGAUGCGAGCGUUAUCCGGAUUUAUUGGGUUUAAAGGGUGCGUAGGUGGUUUUGUAAGUCAGCGGUGAAAUCUUUCCGCUUAACGGGAAAAUUGCCGUUGAAACUGCGGGACUUGAGAGCGGACGAGGUAUGCGGAAUUCGUAGUGUAGCGGUGAAAUGCAUAGAUAUUACGAAGAACUCCGAUAGCGUAGGCAGCAUACCGGAGCGCGUCUGACACUGAAGCACGAAAGUGUGGGUAUCAAACAGGAUUAGAUACCCUGGUAGUCCACACGGUAAACGAUGAAUACUGACUGUUUGCGAUACACGGUAAGCGGUUAAGCGAAAGCGUUAAGUAUUCCACCUGGGGAGUACGCCGGCAACGGUGAAACUCAAAGGAAUUUGACGGGGGCCCGCACAAGCGGAGGAACAUGUGGUUUAAUUUCGAUGAUACGCGAGGAACCUUACCCGGGCUCGAACGGCCGAUGAAUACGGAUGAAAGUCUGUAGUCGCAAGACAUCGGUCGAGGUGCUGCAUGGUUGUCGUCAGCUCGUGCCGUGAGGUGUCGGCUUAAGUGCCAUAACGAGCGCAACCCUUAUCGAUAGUUACCAUCGGGUAAAGCCGGGGACUCAAUCGAGACUGCCACCGUAAGGUGCGAGGAAGGUGGGGAUGACGUCAAAUCAGCACGGCCCUUACGUCCGGGGCGACACACGUGUUACAAUGGGGGGGACAAAAGGCUGCUACUCGGCGACGAGAUGCGAAUCCCCAAACCCUCUCCCGGUUCGGAUCGGAGUCUGCAACCCGACUCCGUGAAGCCGGAUUCGCUAGUAAUCGCGCAUCAGCCAUGGCGCGGUGAAUACGUUCCCGGGCCUUGUACACACCGCCCGU
RNAcentral lists this ribosomal RNA (1386 nucleotides) under uncultured bacterium. Its description in RNAcentral is "bacterial SSU rRNA". It matches the Rfam family "Bacterial small subunit ribosomal RNA". The record is from RNAcentral.